GUGCUCACUUUGGCAUAAAAAAAUUGUAAUGAAACAGAUAUUAAGAUUAGCAUGGCUCCUGCGCAAAGAUCACAUGCAAAUUUGUGAAGCGUUCCAUAUUUUU
Molecule: small nuclear RNA, 103 nt
Organism: Hyla sarda
Lineage: Eukaryota; Metazoa; Chordata; Amphibia; Anura; Hylidae
Source: RefSeq, a predicted model, not a curated record